GGGCCGUUAGCUCAGCUGGUAGAGCAGCGGACUCUUAAUCCGUUGGUCGUAGGUUCGAUCCCUACACGGCCUACCA
RNAcentral lists this transfer RNA (76 nucleotides) under Bradyrhizobium sp. RNAcentral's name for it is "tRNA-Lys". It matches the Rfam family "tRNA". From Rfam's summary of the family: Transfer RNA (tRNA) molecules are approximately 80 nucleotides in length. Their secondary structure includes four short double-helical elements and three loops (D, anti-codon, and T loops). RNAcentral also lists the same sequence under 5 other names. Lineage: Bacteria; Pseudomonadati; Pseudomonadota; Alphaproteobacteria; Hyphomicrobiales; Nitrobacteraceae. The record is from RNAcentral.